UCAAAAACAUACGUGCUUAAACAAACACCUGCAUACACGUGUCGAGAACAUUAGCAAUGUUUUCAAGCAAUCACAAUAACAACGUGCAGGCUUGAUUGCACAACUAUUCUUAUGUUUCAGAUUUUCUUAAUUCUGUUAUAUGCAAAUAUUUCUAUACUCGACAUGUUCAUGUUCUAGUGUACUUCUUCGUAUUUAUUUGUUAUUUCUUUUGCAUCUGGUUAUUAACAUGUAGGGACAGUGUUUUGACUUCAUUUCUUUACUUAAUUAAAAUAUUGAAGUUCCCUAAUUAACCUUUAUUACCUCAUGCUGAAUCAACACAGGCCGUUUAUGUUAA
This is a long non-coding RNA of Haliotis rubra (blacklip abalone), 334 nucleotides long. RefSeq lists it as uncharacterized. NCBI's taxonomy places the organism in Eukaryota, Metazoa, Mollusca, Gastropoda, Lepetellida, Haliotidae. The record is from RefSeq and is a predicted model, not a curated record. The transcript is spliced from 2 exons.